AGUCGAACGAUACUUUCCAGCUUGCUGGAAAGGAAAGUGGCGCACGGGUGCGUAACGCGUAUGCAACCUACCUUAAUCAGGGGGAUAGCCCGAAGAAAUUCGGAUUAACACCGCAUAAAAUCACAGUACAGCAUUGUACAAUGAUCAAAUAUUUAUAGGAUUAAGAUGGGCAUGCGUGACAUUAGCUAGUUGGCGGGGUAACGGCCCACCAAGGCUACGAUGUCUAGGGGAUCUGAGAGGAUGACCCCCCACACUGGUACUGAGACACGGACCAGACUCCUACGGGAGGCAGCAGUAAGGAAUAUUGGUCAAUGGAGGCAACUCUGAACCAGCCAUGCCGCGUGCAGGAAGACAGCCCUCUGGGUCGUAAACUGCUUUUAUUCGGGAAUAAACCUACUUACGUGUAAGUAGCUGAAUGUACCGAAGGAAUAAGGAUCGGCUAACUCCGUGCCAGCAGCCGCGGUAAUACGGAGGAUCCAAGCGUUAUCCGGAUUUAUUGGGUUUAAAGGGUGCGUAGGCGGCUUUUUAAGUCAGGGGUGAAAGACGGUAGCUCAACUAUCGCAGUGCCCUUGAUACUGAAGAGCUUGAAUGGACUAGAGGUAGGCGGAAUGUGACAAGUAGCGGUGAAAUGCAUAGAUAUGUCACAGAACACCGAUUGCGAAGGCAGCUUACUAUGGUUUUAUUGACGCUGAGGCACGAAAGCGUGGGGAUCAAACAGGAUUAGAUACCCUGGUAGUCCACGCCCUAAACGAUGAAUACUCGCUGUUAGCGAUACACAGUUAGCGGCUAAGCGAAAGCGUUAAGUAUUCCACCUGGGGAGUACGGUCGCAAGAUUGAAACUCAAAGGAAUUGACGGGGGCCCGCACAAGCGGAGGAGCAUGUGGUUUAAUUCGAUGAUACGCGAGGAACCUUACCCGGGCUUGAAAGUUAGUGAAUCAUUUAGAGAUAGAUGAGUCCGCAAGGACACGAAACUAGGUGCUGCAUGGCUGUCGUCAGCUCGUGCCGUGAGGUGUUGGGUUAAGUCCCGCAACGAGCGCAACCCCUAUGUUUAGUUGCCAGCACGUAAUGGUGGGGACUCUAAACAGACUGCCUGUGCAAACAGAGAGGAAGGAGGGGACGACGUCAAGUCAUCAUGGCCCUUACGUCCGGGGCUACACACGUGCUACAAUGGAUGGUACAGAGGGCAGCAAGCUGGUAACAGCAAGCAAAUCUCCAAAAGCCAUUCACAGUUCGGAUAGAGGUCUGCAACUCGACCUCUUGAAGUUGGAUUCGCUAGUAAUCGUAUAUCAGCAAUGAUACGGUGAAUACGUUCCCGGGCCUUGUACACACCGCCCGUCAAGCCAUGGAAGUUGGGGGUACCUAAAGUAUGUAACCGCAAGGAG
This 1382-nucleotide ribosomal RNA is filed under the name Pedobacter sp. HL-19. RNAcentral's name for it is "16S ribosomal RNA". It matches the Rfam family "Bacterial small subunit ribosomal RNA". Lineage: Bacteria; Pseudomonadati; Bacteroidota; Sphingobacteriia; Sphingobacteriales; Sphingobacteriaceae. The record is from RNAcentral.